This 463-nucleotide ribosomal RNA is filed under the name uncultured bacterium. Its description in RNAcentral is "partial 16S ribosomal RNA". It matches the Rfam family "Bacterial small subunit ribosomal RNA", at positions 30 to 507 of the family's 1533-position model. The record is from RNAcentral.
AUUGAACGCUGGCGGCGUGCCUAAUACAUGCAAGUCGAACGAUGAAGUCCUCGCUUGCUAGGCGGGAUUAGUGGCGCACGGGUGUGAAGUAUAUAGUUAAUCUGCCCUACACAGGGUAACACCAGUUAGAAACGGCUGCUAAUACCUCAUACUCCUAUUUGACAUAAGUUAAAUAGAAAAAGUCUUUUCGUUGUAGGAUGAGACUAUAUCGUAUCAGCUAGUUGGUAAGGUAAUGUCUUACCAAGGCUAUGACGCGUAACUGGUCUGAGAGGAUGAUCAGUCACAUUGGAACUGAGACACGGUCCAAACUCCUACGGGAGGCAGCAGUAAGGAAUAUUGCGCAAUGGGGGAAACCCUGACGCAGCAACGCCGCGUGGAGGAUGACACUUUUCGGAGAGUAAACUCCUUUUAUCAGGAAAGAAUAAUGACGGUACCUGAUGAAUAAGCACCGGCUAACUCCGUG